AGGGGCAGCGGGAUUGAAGCUUGCUUCAAUUGCCGGCGACCGGCGCACGGGUGAGUAACGCGUAUCCAACCUUCCGCUUACUCGGGGAUAGCCUUUCGAAAGAAAGAUUAAUACCCGAUUGUAUCUUAAGCACGCAUGAGAUUAAGAUUAAAGAUUUAUCGGUAAGCGAUGGGGAUGCGUUCCAUUAGGCAGUUGGCGGGGUAACGGCCCACCAAACCUACGAUGGAUAGGGGUUCUGAGAGGAAGGUCCCCCACAUUGGAACUGAGACACGGUCCAAACUCCUACGGGAGGCAGCAGUGAGGAAUAUUGGUCAAUGGGCGAGAGCCUGAACCAGCCAAGUAGCGUGAAGGAUGACGGCUCUACGGGUUGUAAACUUCUUUUGUGCGGGAAUAAAGGAGCCUACGUGUAGGCUUUUGCAUGCACCGUAACGAAUAAGCAUCGGCUAACUCCGUGCCAGCAGCCGCGGUAAUACGGAGGAUGCGAGCGUUAUCCGGAUUUAUUGGGUUUAAAGGGAGCGUAGACGGGUUUUUAAGUCAGCUGUGAAAGUUUGGGGCUCAACCUUAAAAUUGCAGUUGAAACUGGAGACCUUGAGUACGGUUGAGGCAGGCGGAAUUCGUGGUGUAGCGGUGAAAUGCUUAGAUAUCACGAAGAACCCCGAUUGCGAAGGCAGCCUGCUAAGCCGCC
This 685-nucleotide ribosomal RNA is filed under the name uncultured Bacteroidales bacterium. Its description in RNAcentral is "bacterial SSU rRNA". It matches the Rfam family "Bacterial small subunit ribosomal RNA", at positions 65 to 738 of the family's 1533-position model. The record is from RNAcentral. Lineage: Bacteria; Pseudomonadati; Bacteroidota; Bacteroidia; Bacteroidales.